This is a non-coding RNA of Tulasnella sp. 332, 71 nucleotides long. The record is from the annotation of a GenBank genome assembly. Lineage: Eukaryota; Fungi; Basidiomycota; Agaricomycetes; Cantharellales; Tulasnellaceae.
UGCAACCUAGUAUAAUGGUAGUAUUCAGGGUUCAUCUUCCUGAGAUAGAGGUUCGAUACCUCUGGUUGCUC